UACGUAGGGAGCAAGCGUUAUCCGGAUUUAUUGGGUGUAAAGGGUGCGUAGACGGGAAUUUAAGUUAGUUGUGAAAGCCCUCGGCUUAACUGAGGAACUGCAACUAAAACUGAAUUUCUUGAGUGCGGGAGAGGAAAGUGGAAUUCCGUGUGUAGCGGUGAAAUGCGUAGAUAUACGGAGGAACACCAGUGGCGAAGGCGGCCUGCUGGACAAUAACUGACGCUGAGGCGCGAAAGCGUGGGGAGCAAACAGG
RNAcentral lists this ribosomal RNA (253 nucleotides) under uncultured Eubacteriales bacterium. RNAcentral's name for it is "uncultured Clostridiales bacterium partial 16S ribosomal RNA". It matches the Rfam family "Bacterial small subunit ribosomal RNA", at positions 524 to 776 of the family's 1533-position model. Lineage: Bacteria; Bacillati; Bacillota; Clostridia; Eubacteriales. The record is from RNAcentral.